UACGAAGGGUGCAAGCGUUAAUCGGAAUUACUGGGCGUAAAGCGCGCGUAGGUGGUUCAGCAAGUUGGAUGUGAAAGCCCUGGGCUCAACCUGGGAACUGCAUCCAAAACUACUGAGCUAGAGUACGGUAGAGGGUAGUGGAAUUUCCUGUGUAGCGGUGAAAUGCGUAGAUAUUGGGAGGAACACCUGUGGCGAAAGCGGCCAUCUGGGGCAUUCCUGACACUGAGGUUCGAAAGCUCGGGGAGCAAACAGGAUUAGAAACCCCUGUAGU
Molecule: ribosomal RNA, 271 nt
Filed under: uncultured bacterium
Lineage: Bacteria
Description: partial 16S ribosomal RNA
Rfam family: Bacterial small subunit ribosomal RNA
Source: RNAcentral